GUGCCAGCCGCCGCGGUAAUACGGCGGGUGCAAGCGUUAUCCGGAAUUAUUGGGUUUAAAGGGUCCGCAGGCGGUUGAUUAAGUCAGAGGUGAAAUCCCAUAGCUCAACUAUGGAACUGCCUUUGAUACUGGUUGACUUGAGUUAUACGGAAGUAGAUAGAAUAAGUAGUGUAGCGGUGAAAUGCAUAGAGAUUACUUAGAAUACCGAUUGCGAAGGCAGCCUACUACGUAUAUACUGACGCUCAUGGACGAAAGCGUGGGGAGCGAACAGGGUUAGAUACCCUGGUAGUCCACGCCGUAAACGAUGGACACUAGUUGUUGGGUUUAUACUCAGUGACUAAGCGAAAGUGAUAAGUGUCCCACCUGGGGAGUACGGUCGCAAGACUGAAACUCAAAGAAAUUGACGG
RNAcentral lists this ribosomal RNA (407 nucleotides) under uncultured Tenacibaculum sp. RNAcentral describes it as "bacterial SSU rRNA". It matches the Rfam family "Bacterial small subunit ribosomal RNA", at positions 505 to 916 of the family's 1533-position model. Lineage: Bacteria; Pseudomonadati; Bacteroidota; Flavobacteriia; Flavobacteriales; Flavobacteriaceae. The record is from RNAcentral.